AUUAGGGUGGCAUAGCUUGGUUAUUGCUGGGGGCCUAAAACUCCCUGUCAGAAGUUCAACUCUUCUCCCUAACA
This 74-nucleotide transfer RNA is filed under the name Chamaeleo chamaeleon (common chameleon). RNAcentral's name for it is "tRNA-Leu". It matches the Rfam family "tRNA". From Rfam's summary of the family: Transfer RNA (tRNA) molecules are approximately 80 nucleotides in length. Their secondary structure includes four short double-helical elements and three loops (D, anti-codon, and T loops). Further hydrogen bonds mediate the characteristic L-shaped molecular structure. tRNAs have two regions of fundamental functional importance: the anti-codon, which is responsible for specific mRNA codon recognition, and the 3' end, to which the tRNAs corresponding amino acid is attached (by aminoacyl-tRNA synthetases). tRNAs cope with the degeneracy of the genetic code in two manners: having more than one tRNA (with a specific anti-codon) for a particular amino acid; and 'wobble' base-pairing, i.e. permitting non-standard base-pairing at the 3rd anti-codon position. Lineage: Eukaryota; Metazoa; Chordata; Lepidosauria; Squamata; Chamaeleonidae. The record is from RNAcentral. RNAcentral also lists the same sequence under 2 other names.